Molecule: long non-coding RNA, 1433 nt
Filed under: Homo sapiens (human)
Lineage: Eukaryota; Metazoa; Chordata; Mammalia; Primates; Hominidae
Description: HSALNT0372427
Source: RNAcentral
CUAUUCACCUCUCCUUCCUCUCACAGCCAACCUUCAAUGGUUUAUGCUAUUUCUUCCUCAUAAGCUACCACAUGACUUUAGUCUUCACCAAUUCACUAAAAAUACUUCAUUUACUAACCUAAUGGUCACUCUUCAGUUGCACCUCCUUCACUUCUCUCUGACCUUUGAUGCUGCUGAUACAUGGUAUUCAUUCCCCUCUUCUUGAAACCCUGACACUGCUCUUUUCCUGACACUUCUGCUCUCUGGCUAUGUUCACUGCCUCAGAUCUCCUCUUUCCUCUGCCCUUUAUAUUCCCAAAGCAAUUCUAAACCUUUCCCUUUACAAAACUCCUGAACAAACUCAUCCAUACCCAGAUCAUCAACCACCCUUUAUAUCUCACAAUUUUACACUCACACUCUAUCUGAAGCUCCAGGCCUCUAUUUUGAAUUAGCUGCUGAGUAUUUACUGAAACACAUUUUGUUUCUAUUUAAGCCUGCUCCUUUCUCUAUUUCCAAUAUCAGUUCCCUGUACCCUGUAUAAUAAAGAAUUUAGCUGGCCUUUGUCUCCAGUCCCUGGAAAAUAGCCUCUAAAUCCUUGGAAUUACCCUAGCGACAGGAUUAUUGUUGUUAUCACAAUAGGCCCUGAAAUUUUAUGCUAAUGAGGUGACUCAUGGUGGCCCCCUAUAUAGUUUAUGCCAACAAGACUACUCAGGAUGGGGGAUGACCAUGCCAGGAAAACCAACCAUGUGAUUAGAGAGCUGGGGCUUUGAGCCAUGUGGUAUCAACUCAACCUCUGGGAAGAGGAAGAGAACAAGAGAUUAAGAACCAUGGGCAAUCAUUCAAUUGAUCACGAGAGCAAAGCAUCCUGACUCCAGGAAGAGAGGGCGAAAGAAGCGUCACCUUCAGCAUCCUUCUAGAUCUCGCCCUAAAUACAUGAACUGGUCAACUUUAUUAAAAACUUCAAAUCUACAUUCUUGCAGGAACAGUUGCAUGCAGGUAAGACUAAACUGAUCCUUGCUAGAUCCCAAAAGACUGGGAAAGCCUACCUUUGAACUGGUAGACGCAGAGGAUUUCCACCACUACUAGAAAACAUUUUGAAUAUUAAUGUGGAAGGAUCUUUUUAAAUAGUAUUAAGACCAUUAAAGCAAUAUGCUUUACCCCAAAUUCUUCAUUUAAUAAUAUAGUUGUUUUAAAAGAAAUUUUAUGCUAUGGUUUCUAUGGGGUUCUGCCAAGAUUCACACAGCUUUGACGAGCUUUAAAUGAAAUUCACUUAUUUGCCAGAGACAGUCCAACUAUGGAAAUACUUCAGCAAGCACAGCCAAGUGCCUCCCCAGAGCUUUAGCCCCAGUUACUGCCUAGAGUAAAAACAAAACAAGAAAAUGGUCAAAAUGAGUCAAUCUCCUAAACUUCAACCGGAAAAGAGACAAGAGAACAAGACAAACUUCUCCAAUCCCA